This 131-nucleotide microRNA precursor is filed under the name Trichophyton rubrum BMU01672. The record is from RNAcentral. Lineage: Eukaryota; Fungi; Ascomycota; Eurotiomycetes; Onygenales; Arthrodermataceae.
CAGGCGAUGUGCGAAGACUUUCUUUUCGUAGCAGGCUCAAGCCUCUUGUCUCCAGGUAGUUGGUGUCUGUCUGUCUGUCUGUCUGUCUGUUGCUGUUGCUGUUGCUGUUGCUGUCGAGGUUGAUGCAGUCG